UGGGGAAUAUUGCACAAUGGGGGAAACCCUGAUGCAGCGACGCCGCGUGAGCGAAGAAGUAUUUCGGUAUGUAAAGCUCUAUCAGCAGGGAAGAAAAUGACGGUACCUGACUAAGAAGCCCCGGCUAACUACGUGCCAGCAGCCGCGGUAAUACGUAGGGGGCAAGCGUUAUCCGGAUUUACUGGGUGUAAAGGGAGCGUAGACGGAUGUGCAAGUCUGAAGUGAAAGGCAGGGGCUCAACCCCUGGACUGCAUUGGAAACUGUUGAUCUUGAGUACCGGAGGGUAAGCGGAAUUCCUAGUGUAGCGGUGAAAUGCGUAGAUAUUAGGAGGAACACCAGUGGCGAAGGCGGCUUACUGGACGAUUACUGACGCUGAGGCUCGAAAGCGUGGGGAGCAAACAGGAUUAGAUACCC
Molecule: ribosomal RNA, 414 nt
Filed under: uncultured bacterium
Lineage: Bacteria
Description: bacterial SSU rRNA
Rfam family: Bacterial small subunit ribosomal RNA
Source: RNAcentral